This is a long non-coding RNA of Triticum aestivum (bread wheat), 948 nucleotides long. RefSeq lists it as uncharacterized. The transcript is spliced from 2 exons. The record is from RefSeq and is a predicted model, not a curated record. NCBI's taxonomy places the organism in Eukaryota, Viridiplantae, Streptophyta, Magnoliopsida, Poales, Poaceae.
CUUGGUCACAAGGCACAUUAUGUUAAUUGUAGCCUGCUUGAUGUAUAGACUCAUGCAAGGACAAUAAUUAGCACCUAAAAAUCAUUGGUAGUGGUACUUCCAUGUUAGAGUUGCUUAUGGUAGCUACACCUUUCGCAAAGCCAUUCAUCUGUUGAUUGUUCCAGAGGCGCCAGCUUGUUGGCAAUUCAUGUAUUGUUUGCUUUGACGCGUGUUUUAACCACUUUACAUUGGUCUCUUAAUAAUGGUAUUGUUUUGGCUUCUUGCGGAAACAAGUAAAUCUGCACCUGCAUGGUUCUUUUUAAAAUAUUUCCUAGGAUUCCCUUUUCGAGAUGACAUGCUUAGUGUUGUGGAGGUCCAUGUUAUCAUGUCGAACCAAAACAUGCACGCUUUGAACUUUUUGUAACAGCAACUUGUCUUGAUUUAUGAAUUGACAGAGUGUAAUUUCUGCAUGCAGGGAGUGGCUCUUUGACGUUGCUCCUCGAGGAUGAUGCACUUGAAACCCUCUUUGAUGCCCGAGUUUGGUGCCAUGGAGAUCGACGAUGAAGAUGUCAUUGCCCACAAAAGUGUCAAGGCAUUGAAGACAGAAGACAUGUCCCCUGAGAGCCGAGAUGUGGAAAGCAUUAGGUAAAGUGGCAAGAGGAGCCGGAUGUGCAGCUUGUGCUUUUCUUUGUUGGCUGGUGGUUGCUGCUGAAGUGCAGAUUGAUGAUGCCUGGUGAUAUUGAAGUCCUAGUAGAUAGAUAUGCCCUAUGAUAAUUGUUUUCUUGUUGGUGGCUUACUUGUCGGCUGGUAGGUAUUGAGUCGAUGAAGUACCUUGUCGAAUUCUCAGCUCUUGUUGAUGUUCUCUUUUCUCGAUGGAGAGAGAGAGUGAUAUAUGAAGUGUAAAUUUCUGCAUAUUUUUUUCCACGAGUCUCUCCGAAAUGAAACCGGGAAUUGUGUGCCAUGCCAAUC